UCCGCAGGCGGUCAAUUAAGUCAGAGGUGAAAUACCAUAGCUCAACUAUGGAACUGCCUUUGAUACUGGUUGACUUGAGUCAUAUGGAAGUAGAUAGAAUGUGUAGUGUAGCGGUGAAAUGCAUAGAUAUUACACAGAAUACCGAUUGCGAAGGUAGUCUACUACGUAUGUACUGACGCUGAGGGACGAAAGCGUGGGGAGCGAACAGGAUUAGAUACCCUGGUAGUCC
RNAcentral lists this ribosomal RNA (229 nucleotides) under uncultured bacterium. RNAcentral's name for it is "partial 16S ribosomal RNA". It matches the Rfam family "Bacterial small subunit ribosomal RNA", at positions 568 to 796 of the family's 1533-position model. The record is from RNAcentral.